GAUGAACGCUAGCUACAGGCUUAACACAUGCAAGUCGCGGGGCAGCAUGGGGGUUGCUUGCAAUCCCCGAUGGCGACCGGCGCACGGGUGAGUAACGCGUAUCCAACCUGCCCUUCACCACGGGAUAACCCGGCGAAAGUCGGACUAAUACCGUAUGUUGUCCAUUGACGGCAUCCGAUUUGGACGAAAGGCUUGGCGGUGAGGGAGUGGGAUGCGUCCGAUUGGCUGGACGGCGGGGUAACGGCCCACCGUGGCUACGAUCGGUAGGGGUUCUGAGAGGAAGGUCCCCCACACUGGAACUGAGACACGGUCCAGACUCCUACGGGAGGCAGCAGUGAGGAAUAUUGAUCAAUGGGCGUAAGCCUGAACCAGCCAAGUAGCGUGCAGGAUGACGGCCCUAUGGGUUGUAAACUGCUUUUAUGCGGGGAUAAAGUGGCCCACGUGUGGGCUUUUGCAGGUACCGCAUGAAUAAGGACCGGCUAAUUCCGUG
This 490-nucleotide ribosomal RNA is filed under the name uncultured bacterium. Its description in RNAcentral is "partial 16S ribosomal RNA". It matches the Rfam family "Bacterial small subunit ribosomal RNA", at positions 28 to 507 of the family's 1533-position model. The record is from RNAcentral.